GAUGAACGCUGGCGGCGUGCCUAAUACAUGCCAGUCGAGCGAACAGACGAGGAGCUUGCUCCUCUGACGUUAGCGGCGGACGGGUGGGUAACACGUGGAUAACCUACCUAUAAGACUGGGAUAACUUCGGGAAACCGGAGCUAAUACCGGAUAAUAUAUUGAACCGCAUGGUUCAAUAGUGAAAGACGGUUUUGCUGUCACUUAUAGAUGGAUCCGCGCCGCAUUAGCUAGUUGGUAAGGUAACGGCUUACCAAGGCGACGAUGCGUAGCCGACCUGAGAGGGUGAUCGGCCACACUGGAACUGAGACACGGUCCAGACUCCUACGGGAGGCAGCAGUAGGGAAUCUUCCGCAAUGGGCGAAAGCCUGACGGAGCAACGCCGCGUGAGUGAUGAAGGUCUUCGGAUCGUAAAACUCUGUUAUUAGGGAAGAACAAAUGUGUAAGUAACUAUGCACGUCUUGACGGUACCUAAUCAGAAAGCCACGGCUAACUACGUG
RNAcentral lists this ribosomal RNA (497 nucleotides) under uncultured bacterium. RNAcentral describes it as "partial 16S ribosomal RNA". It matches the Rfam family "Bacterial small subunit ribosomal RNA", at positions 28 to 507 of the family's 1533-position model. The record is from RNAcentral.